UACAGAGGGAUGCUACCGGGCGACCGGAUGCGGAUCUCGAAAGCCUGUCCCAGUUCGGACUGGAGUCUGCAACCCGACUCCACGAAGUUGGAUUCGCUAGUAAUCGCGCAUCAGCCAUGGCGCGGUGAAUACGUUCCCGGGCCUUGUACACACCGCCCGUCAAGCCAUGGGAGCCGGGGGCGCCUGAAGUCCGGGACCGCGAGGACCGGCCUAGGGCGAAACUGGUAACUGGGGCUAAGUCGUAACAAGGUAUC
RNAcentral lists this ribosomal RNA (254 nucleotides) under uncultured bacterium. Its description in RNAcentral is "partial 16S ribosomal RNA". It matches the Rfam family "Bacterial small subunit ribosomal RNA", at positions 1238 to 1500 of the family's 1533-position model. The record is from RNAcentral.